AAUGAACGCUGGCGGCGUGCCUAACACAUGCAAGUCGAGCGAACAGACGAGGAGCUUGCUCCUCUGACGUUAGCGGCGGACGGGUGAGUAACACGUGGAUAACCUACCUAUAAGACUGGGAUAACUUCGGGAAACCGGAGCUAAUACCGGAUAAUAUAUUGAACCGCAUGGUUCAAUAGUGAAAGACGGUUUUGCAGUCACUUAUAGAUGGAUCCGCGCCGCAUUAGCUAGUUGGUAAGGUAACGGCUUACCAAGGCAACGAUGCGUAGCCGACCUGAGAGGGUGAUCGGCCACACUGGAACUGAGACACGGUCCAGACUCCUACGGGAGGCAGCAGUAGGGAAUCUUCCGCAAUGGGCGAAAGCCUGACGGAGCAACGCCGCGUGAGUGAUGAAGGUCUUCGGAUCGUAAAACUCUGUUAUUAGGGAAGAACAAAUGUGUAAGUAACUAUGCACGUCUUGACGGUACCUAAUCAGAAAGCCACGGCUAACUACGUGCCAGCCGCCGCAGUAA
RNAcentral lists this ribosomal RNA (513 nucleotides) under uncultured bacterium. RNAcentral describes it as "partial 16S ribosomal RNA". It matches the Rfam family "Bacterial small subunit ribosomal RNA", at positions 29 to 523 of the family's 1533-position model. The record is from RNAcentral.